Molecule: ribosomal RNA, 243 nt
Filed under: uncultured bacterium
Lineage: Bacteria
Description: partial 16S ribosomal RNA
Rfam family: Bacterial small subunit ribosomal RNA
Source: RNAcentral
GCUAGCGUUGUUCGGAAUUACUGGGCGUAAAGCGCACGUAGGCGGCUUUGUAAGUUAGAGGUGAAAGCCCGGAGCUCAACUCCGGAAUUGCCUUUAAGACUGCAUCGCUAGAAUUGUGGAGAGGUGAGUGGAAUUCCGAGUGUAGAGGUGAAAUUCGUAGAUAUUCGGAAGAACACCAGUGGCGAAGGCGACUCACUGGACACAUAUUGACGCUGAGGUGCGAAAGCGUGGGGAGCAAACAGG